GUAUGUACAUUAUCAUCAUAUUACAUAUCAUCAUAUUAUAUCGUAUUGCAAUGGCUGCCGUAGACUCAAAUCACCUACAACAUCCUUCCUCGCCUGUUCUCGGUCAAUAGAAUAUACCCGUUUACUAUUUGAUCCUUCCGCAGGUUCACCUACGGAAA
This 158-nucleotide unclassified non-coding RNA is filed under the name uncultured fungus. RNAcentral's name for it is "sequence contains ITS1". Lineage: Eukaryota; Fungi. The record is from RNAcentral.